Molecule: unclassified non-coding RNA, 520 nt
Filed under: uncultured Glomus
Lineage: Eukaryota; Fungi; Glomeromycota; Glomeromycetes; Glomerales; Glomeraceae
Description: SSU rRNA
Rfam family: Eukaryotic small subunit ribosomal RNA
Source: RNAcentral
AGCAGCCGCGGUAAUUCCUGCUCCAAUAGCGUAUAUUAAAGUUGUUGCAGUUAAAAGCUCGUAGUUGAAUUUCGGGGUUAGUAGGUUGGUCAUGCCUCUGGUAUGUACUGGUCUCACUGAUUCCUCCUUCCUGAUGAACCUUAAUGCCAUUAAUUUGGUGUUUUGGGGAAUUUGGACUGUUACUUUGAAAAAUUAGAGUGUUUAAAGCAAGCUAACGCUUGAAUACAUUAGCAUGGAAUAAUGAAAUAGGACGUUCGAUCCUAUUUUGUUGGUUUCUAGGAUUGACGUAAUGAUUAAUAGGGAUAGUUGGGGGCAUUAGUAUUCAAUUGUCAGAGGUGAAAUUCCUGGAUUUAUUGAAGACUAACUACUGCGAAAGCAUUUGCCAAGGAUGUUUUCAUUAAUCAAGAACGAAAGUUAGGGAUCGAAGACGAUCAGAUACCGUCGUAGUCUUAACCAUAAACUAUGCCGACUAGGGAUCGGAUGAUGUUAAUUUUUUAAUGUACUCAUUCGGCGCCUUACG